AGGUUUGGCUGGUCCUGGACAAAACUGCCUUCUCCAGAAUGGGAUUUAGAGGAAGACCCUUCUCUCUCUAAUGUGACUGAGGAAAACAGAAGGAAGUGUUUUAAAGAAGGACCAUGAUUCGUCACUGAAGGCUCAGCUGAGAAAGCUGUGAUAACCAGGCAAACCAGAGAGGAACUUCAUCCAGUUGCCUGUCAAGAAUGUUUCUGAAAGUGCUCUCUGACAACAAUGCUAUUCACAGUCUGGAUAAUGGUACCAAGCAGGAGAAGAAACGAUGAAGUACUUGCAUGAAGGCAGCC
Molecule: long non-coding RNA, 296 nt
Organism: Gorilla gorilla gorilla (western lowland gorilla)
Lineage: Eukaryota; Metazoa; Chordata; Mammalia; Primates; Hominidae
Exons: 3
Source: RefSeq, a predicted model, not a curated record